UAUCCCCUCCAUUUGGGGCUCCUUCUUCCCUUAACUCUCUAUUUUCUUACAACAUACACUUGCUUACAUUCAUGUAAUAUUAUCAUGGUUGAUAUGAUACUGACUUGAGCAUCGGAGUGCCUUCGGGGCGAUCCCCCGGGGCCCUCUAACGAGAUUUUCAUGUGGUCGCAGCCCGAGACUCGCUAACCCGCAAGAGGAACCGUCACCACAACGACGAGGACAAGAAUCUCAACUGGAUCUCGCCAAGUCUAAGGGAUGUGGCAGGGGACAAUCGCGGUUCGACGUAGUAUACCACGCUGCAAAAGUGUUGCUGAGUGUGAACCAUUAUGUGGAAAUUGUUUGUUUUGUCGGUGUGUAGGCGGAGAGUGUGUCAAUGAUAGAUGUCCUCACCCCAAGAGUCAAGAACUUGCAAAAGAUAGUGGUUUUCAAAGAGAAUCGAGUGUGAUGAACCAUCUAUAAGUCUUUUAUUUGUUAUUACACGUGAAGAGUUUUAUGAUCGAAA
Helianthus annuus (common sunflower) is the source of this 502-nucleotide long non-coding RNA. RefSeq lists it as uncharacterized. NCBI's taxonomy places the organism in Eukaryota, Viridiplantae, Streptophyta, Magnoliopsida, Asterales, Asteraceae. The record is from RefSeq and is a predicted model, not a curated record. The transcript is spliced from 2 exons.